Non-coding RNA from Phrynosoma platyrhinos (Desert horned lizard), 73 nucleotides. The record is from the annotation of a GenBank genome assembly. NCBI's taxonomy places the organism in Eukaryota, Metazoa, Chordata, Lepidosauria, Squamata, Phrynosomatidae.
GGCUUGACUGGUACAGUGGUUUCAGUGUUGGACUACAACUCUGGAGACCAGGGUUCAAUUCCCCACUCAGCCA